CCGUCCAGGCUGCUUCGUUCUUCCAACAGAUUCUAAUCAUUGUGUUUUUCAGUUGGUCAGUUAAGGUAUUUUCCAAACCUAAGAAAAGCUUAUCCGCUGGCUGAACAUGGGUUGCACUACUGGUUGCGUUAAGUGUUUUCUCAACACCCUCAAUACUCUGAAUGCGCUUUCGGGUCUAUUGCUGAUAGCCAUUGCUACGCUUGCCCUCUCGAAAGCCCCUCUUGCUUACAUCGUAUUCCUAUAUGGACUGGGAGGCGUUAUCUUCGUCUCGGCAAUUCUUGGAUGCUGUGGAAUCUGCCAGGAGAACGUGUGCAUGACCGCAACGUACGGAUUCCUACUGUUGAGCCAGCUGAUAAUAAGCUUGCUGGGCAUUUUCGGCUUUAAGUUUAGUGAGGAAUACAUUGAGAAGUUCGCCAAAGAGGAGGUUCAGAUAAAAUGGAACGAGGAGCUGGUGGAACCUGGUGCAAUGGACAUUUACCAGGAAUUGUAUGAGUGUUGUGGACGUGAUAGCCCCGAUGACUAUGUGGUCAUCGGCCGGGAAACCUUGCCUUCAAGCUGUUAUCCCCAGGGGAAUAGUCAGAAGAUCCACUAUCAAGAUGGAUGCGCCCUGAAGACCAGUCAGAACUAUGUGACUCUUUUCAGCUAUGCAAACGACUCCAACUGGAUGGCAGUGGUCAUAACUGUUCUCAUGGUGUUUGGUGCCUUUUAUUUGGUCGGACGAUUCCGCAAGCAGCGCAUUCGCUACAGCUACUAAAGACUGAUUUCGGAUUCGGUCGAAAAGAAUGCAUUUGGAAUCCAUUAUAAUAUUCUUGCAUAUUUAUCUGCAGAUAUUUCGGAAGCAAACGUAUUUCAUUAUGGAAUUCCGGGAAUGAAGGGAGCAUUUCGAUGCUUACAUUCGACUGUUGUUUUUAGUUCACAAUUUGUAUACUUUUUAAGAUCGGAAACGACUUAUCCUAUUCUAUUAUCUGUAAAAAUACAAACGAAAUACAAUUAUUUUUGAGAACUCGA
Non-coding RNA from Drosophila suzukii, 1008 nucleotides. NCBI's taxonomy places the organism in Eukaryota, Metazoa, Arthropoda, Insecta, Diptera, Drosophilidae. The record is from RefSeq and is a predicted model, not a curated record.